RNAcentral lists this ribosomal RNA (435 nucleotides) under uncultured bacterium. Its description in RNAcentral is "partial 16S ribosomal RNA". It matches the Rfam family "Bacterial small subunit ribosomal RNA", at positions 29 to 507 of the family's 1533-position model. The record is from RNAcentral.
AACGAACGCUGGCGGCAUGCCUAACACAUGCAAGUCGAACGAUUGCCUUCGGGUGAUAGUGGCGCACGGGUGCGUAACGCGUGGGAAUCUGCCCUUAGGUUCGGAAUAACAGCUGGAAACGGCUGCUAAUACCGGAUGAUAUCGCGAGACCAAAGAUUUAUCGCCUGAGGAUGAGCCCGCGUUGGAUUAGGUAGUUGGUGGGGUAAAGGCCUACCAAGCCGACGAUCCAUAGCUGGUCUGAGAGGAUGAUCAGCCACACUGGGACUGAGACACGGCCCAGACUCCUACGGGAGGCAGCAGUGGGGAAUAUUGGACAAUGGGCGCAAGCCUGAUCCAGCAAUGCCGCGUGAGUGAUGAAGGCCCUAGGGUUGUAAAGCUCUUUUACCCGGGAAGAUAAUGACUGUACCGGGAGAAUAAGCCCCGGCUAACUCCGUG